This 329-nucleotide ribosomal RNA is filed under the name uncultured eukaryote. Its description in RNAcentral is "partial 18S ribosomal RNA". It matches the Rfam family "Eukaryotic small subunit ribosomal RNA", at positions 1470 to 1796 of the family's 1831-position model. The record is from RNAcentral.
CCCUUAGAUGUUCUGGGCCGCACGCGCGCUACAAUGAUGAAUUCAACGAGUUUAUAACCUUGGUUGAAAAGCCUGGGUAAUCUUUUGAACUUUCGUCGUGAUGGGGCUAGACCCUUGCAAUUAUUGGUCUCCAACGAGGAAUUCCUAGUAAACGCAAGUCAUCAGCUUGCAUUGAUUACGUCCCUGCCCUUUGUACACACCGCCCGUCGCACCUACCGAUUGAAUGGUCCGGUGAAAUCUUCGGAUUGAGACUUUGAUUUCUUCACGGAAAACGCUGUUUUAGAAAGUUGAUUAAACCUUACCAUUUAGAGGAAGGUGAAGUCGUAACA